AACACUAUGCUUUCUUAGGCAGGUACUAUUAUUAUCUGCUUUUUUUUUAACAGAUGAAGGAACCGAGCCACACAGAGGUUAAAUAACUUGCCCAAGGGUGCACAACUACUAGUAGUAUUGAGUCUAUACGCUUAAGUAUUGUGCUAUUCCAUUUCUUACUGAAUACAAAGCAAAAAAACAUAAGGAUCAGAGGAGGAGUGUGAGUGUCCUCAUACUCACAGCAAAAGGAGGGAAUUCAGGAGAGGAUUGAAGAAGCGGUUCCUGUUUUUGAGGCAUUUGCAAUCAUUGCUGGAGAGACAGAACCAACAGAUGGGGAACAAUGGCCAGGGACUCCAGGCCUGGUUUAAGCAAAUGCCGCCCUGUGGUCUUUACCCAUGAAUGGUGUGGAAAAUGAGAGCAGGGAAGAGGAUUUACUCACUGGCUGUGGAGUUAGGUCAGAAGGGGGAUGGAAAGAAGGAACCGGAUGGCUUUGGGGACAUUUCUUAAUCUUUAGGCUUCACCUUCCUUAACUGAAAAUAAAGCCAUAAGUUACCUCC
Molecule: long non-coding RNA, 536 nt
Filed under: Pan troglodytes (chimpanzee)
Lineage: Eukaryota; Metazoa; Chordata; Mammalia; Primates; Hominidae
Description: lincRNA
Source: RNAcentral